Molecule: ribosomal RNA, 301 nt
Filed under: uncultured bacterium
Lineage: Bacteria
Description: partial 16S ribosomal RNA
Rfam family: Bacterial small subunit ribosomal RNA
Source: RNAcentral
CAGCAGCCACGGGAACACGUAGGGUGCGAGCGUUAAUCGGAAUUACUGGGCGUAAAGCGUGCGCAGGCGGUUCGUUAAGACAGAUGUGAAAUCCCCGGGCUUAACCUGGGAACUGCAUUUGUGACUGGCGAGCUAGAGUAUGGCAGAGGGGGGUAGAAUUCCACGUGUAGCAGUGAAAUGCGUAGAGAUGUGGAGGAAUACCGAUGGCGAAGGCAGCCCCCUGGGCCAAUACUGACGCUCAUGCACGAAAGCGUGGGGAGCAAACAGGAUUAGAUACCCGCGUAGUCCCUGUCUCUUAUAC